AUCUUUGUCCGUCUAUUAUUAUUUCAUUUGUGCUUGUAAUGUUGAAGAGAGUGGUCAAAUGCGCUUAUUAGUUUGAUGUGGAUUAAUCUGUAUAUACAUAUUUUUGUCAAAUAUAACACUAAAGGUGCAAACUAGCAUGCGGCUCGCCUGAUGGUAAGUGACUACCGCCGCCCAUGAUCACCCACAACACCAGCGGCAUUGCAGGUGUGCUGCCGGCUUUUUAAGAAGGAAUAUACUCUUUUCUUGAAGGUUAUGUUAUCGUAUCGGUUCGGAAAUACUGCUGCUGGAAGUUGAUUCCAAAGAAUGGUUGUGCGUGGAAGAAAGUGCCUUGAAAAACGCACGGUGGAAGAUCGCCACCCGUCCAGAUGAUUGGGAUGAAACUUUAGUUUGUGGCAGGUGUAAAACGGUGGUGAAAAUCAGCAGCAGGUAUCAAUCCGAACAAUUCCUCAGAACACUCCCCAUGAUAAAUUCGGUAGAAGAUGCACAGAUAUGCAACAUCUCUGCGCAAUUUCAGUGGGUCAAGUCGGACAGUAAGGCGUUGACUAUCAAUAAUUCGAGCUGCCCGACUUUGGCGAGUUUGGCGUGAAGAUACAUAUAUACAUAUUAUCAUGUUUACUGCUUAUUAAUUAAAUAUUUAUUCUUUAUUGUACACAAAAAUAUAUUUUAUCAAAAUAAUAAUCAAAAUAAUAAUAAUAAUUAAUAAUAGUGCACAUUACAUAAAUUACGUCGUAUAUUCUCUAUUAGUAAUAGAUAAUAUAAUAAUAUAAUAAUAUCAAUAAUCUAUAUCAUGUGGAGAGAGGAAAGGGAUUGUUAGUAAUGGAGACUGAGAAUGCCAUUGCUAGCAAUAUACCCAACCAGGUCGACCUCCUCGCGGUUUCCCCUGGAAACUCAUGGUUACUUCGUGAUGAAUUUAUCAUGAUGGGCUAACUGACCUGUUUUCAUUCUCAUCUAUCACCCUUCACUGGUGCUCCGCCAGCGUAUCCCGUUAGCGCAGGCGGAGUUACCAUACCAUUUUCACCCAUCAAAAAAAAAUCAUGUGGACGAAGCUGCGAGUAAAUGCUAGUAUAAUAUAAAACAAACAGGCAAAUGCCUAUGUGAAUAUUUCGAUAAAAUAGCUCAACGCCGAUGAAUAUCUGGAUGCCGUUUUAAUUAUUAAAUUUAAUAAAAAUUAUAAUAAAUACCUUAAGUUAUAGACGA
Galleria mellonella (greater wax moth) is the source of this 1197-nucleotide long non-coding RNA. RefSeq lists it as uncharacterized. NCBI's taxonomy places the organism in Eukaryota, Metazoa, Arthropoda, Insecta, Lepidoptera, Pyralidae. The transcript has 2 exons. The record is from RefSeq and is a predicted model, not a curated record.